GACGAACCGUGCUAACGUUAUUCGGAAUUACUGGGCUUAAAGCGCGUGUAGGCGGGCAGGCACGUCGGUCGCUGAAAGCCCCCGGCUCAACCGGGGAACGGGCGCCGAUACGGCCGGCCUGGAGGGGGGUAGGGGGAGCCGGAACUUCCGGUGGAGCGGUGAAAUGCGUUGAGAUCGGAAGGAACGCCCGUGGCGAAAGCGGGCUCCUGGACCUCACCUGACGCUGAGACGCGAAAGCUAGGGGAGCGAACGGG
RNAcentral lists this ribosomal RNA (254 nucleotides) under uncultured bacterium. RNAcentral describes it as "partial 16S ribosomal RNA". It matches the Rfam family "Bacterial small subunit ribosomal RNA", at positions 524 to 776 of the family's 1533-position model. The record is from RNAcentral.